UGUCUUCUAAAUAAAGACUAGUAUGAACGGCAAAACGAAGGUCUAACUGUCUCCUUUGUCUACUCAAUGAAAUUGAUCCUCCAGUACAAAAGCUGUAAUAAAAUAACAAGACGAGAAGACCCUAUGGAGCUUAAAACACACUAGAAAGUGCAACCUUUUUUAACUUCAUGCAUCAAUUCCACACUGUUUUCGGUUGGGGCGACCACGGAGAACACUUAACCUCCGAGAUGACAUGCCAGGAAACAAUCCUAAACAUCAGAAAACUGACAUAAUUGACCCAAUUAACUUUGAUCAACGAACCAAGUUACCCUAGGGAUAACAGCGCAAUCCUCUUUAAGAGCCCAUAUCGACAAGAGGGCUUACGACCUCGAUGUUGGAUCAGGAUAACCUGACAGUGUAACCGCCGUCAAAGGUUUGUUUGUU
Molecule: ribosomal RNA, 423 nt
Filed under: Ichthyophis bannanicus
Lineage: Eukaryota; Metazoa; Chordata; Amphibia; Gymnophiona; Ichthyophiidae
Description: partial 16S ribosomal RNA
Rfam family: Bacterial large subunit ribosomal RNA
Source: RNAcentral